GAUGAACGCUGGCGGCGUGCCUAAUACAUGCAAGUCGAGCGAACAGAUGAGGAGCUUGCUCCUCUGACGUUAGCGGCGGACGGGUGAGUAACACGUGGAUAACCUACCUAUAAGACUGGGAUAACUUCGGGAAACCGGAGCUAAUACCGGAUAAUAUAUUGAACCGCAUGGUUCAAUAGUGAAAGACGGUUUUGCUGUCACUUAUAGAUGGAUCCGCGCCGCAUUAGCUAGUUGGUAAGGUAACGGCUUACCAAGGCAACGAUGCGUAGCCGACCUGAGAGGGUGAUCGGCCACACUGGAACUGAGACACGGUCCAGACCCCUACGGGAGGCAGCAGUAGGGAAUCUUCCGGCAUGGGCGAAAGCCUGACGGAGCAACGCCGCGUGAGUGAUGAAGGUCUUCGGAUCGUAAAACUCUGUUAUUAGGGAAGAAAAAAUGUGUAAGUAACUAUGCACGUCUUGAAGGUACCUAAUCAGAAAGCCACGGCUAACUACGUG
RNAcentral lists this ribosomal RNA (497 nucleotides) under uncultured bacterium. Its description in RNAcentral is "partial 16S ribosomal RNA". It matches the Rfam family "Bacterial small subunit ribosomal RNA", at positions 28 to 507 of the family's 1533-position model. The record is from RNAcentral.